AAACUCCGCAAUGCGCGAAAGCGUGACGGGGUCACCCCGAGUGCCGUCCGCUGAGGAUGGCUUUUGCCCGGUCUAACCAGCCGGGUGAAUAAGGGGAGGGCAAGUCUGGUGUCAGCCGCCGCGGUAAUACCAGCUCCCCGAGUGGUUGGGACGAUUAUUGGGUCUGAAGCGUCCGUAGCCGGCCGGAAAAGUUCCCCGUUAAAUCUGGCGAUCCAAUCGUUGGGCUGCGGGGAAUACUCUUCGGCUUGGGGGCGAGGGAGGUCGGCGGUAGUCCCGGGGUAGGGGCGAAAUCCUAUAAUCCCGGGAGGACCACCAGUGGCGAAGGCGGCCGACUAAAACGCGCCCGACGGUGAGGGACGAAAGCUGGGGGAGCGAACGGGAUUAGAUACCCCGGUAGUCCCAGCUGUAAACGAUGCAGGCUAGGUGUUGGGACGGCUACGAGCUGUCCCAGUGCCGCAGGGAAGCCAUUAAGCCUGCCACCUGGGAAGUACGGCCGCAAGGCUGAAUUCUCACGCGCAAAUCGCGAGUAGUGUUUCUCGCGACAUGGGACAGUUCACUUAAAGGAAUUGGCGGGGGAGCACCACAAGGGGUGAAGCUUGCGGUUUAAUUGGAGUCAACUCCGGGAACCUUACCAAGGGCGACAGCUGGAUGAAGGUCAGAUUAAAGGUCUUACCGGACUAGCUGAGAGGAGGUGCAUGGCCGUCGCCAGUUCGUGCCGUGAGGUGUUCUCUUAAGUGAGACAACGAACGAGACCCGCGCCUCUAGUUGCCACCGGAUUCCUUCGGGAUUCCGGGCACACUAAAGGGACUGCCCUCGCUAAGAGGGAGGAAGGAGCGGGCCACGGCAGGUCAGUAUGCCCCAAAUCCCUUGGGCCACACGCGAGCUGCAAUGGAUGGGACAAUGGGUUCCGACCCCGAGAGGGGAAGGCAAUCUUCAAACCCAUCCUCAGUUGGGAUCGAGGGCUGCAACCCGCCCUCGUGAACAUGGAAUCCCUAGUAACCGCGUGUCAUCAUCGCGCGGUGAAUACGUCCCUGCUCCUUGCACACACCGCCCGUCGCUCCAUCCGAGUCUGGCUCUGGUGAGGCGUGGCCUCAUUGGUCAUGUCGAGCCUAGGUUAGACAAGGAGGGAG
RNAcentral lists this ribosomal RNA (1130 nucleotides) under uncultured archaeon. Its description in RNAcentral is "bacterial SSU rRNA". It matches the Rfam family "Archaeal small subunit ribosomal RNA", at positions 345 to 1429 of the family's 1478-position model. The record is from RNAcentral.